ACCUGGGUGGCUCAGUCGGUUGAGCGUCUGACCUCAGCUCAGGCCAUGAUCUCAUGGUUCGUGGGUUCAAGCCCCACGUCAGGCU
Felis catus (domestic cat) is the source of this 85-nucleotide transfer RNA. It matches the Rfam family "tRNA". Rfam says of the family: Transfer RNA (tRNA) molecules are approximately 80 nucleotides in length. Their secondary structure includes four short double-helical elements and three loops (D, anti-codon, and T loops). Further hydrogen bonds mediate the characteristic L-shaped molecular structure. tRNAs have two regions of fundamental functional importance: the anti-codon, which is responsible for specific mRNA codon recognition, and the 3' end, to which the tRNAs corresponding amino acid is attached (by aminoacyl-tRNA synthetases). tRNAs cope with the degeneracy of the genetic code in two manners: having more than one tRNA (with a specific anti-codon) for a particular amino acid; and 'wobble' base-pairing, i.e. permitting non-standard base-pairing at the 3rd anti-codon position. NCBI's taxonomy places the organism in Eukaryota, Metazoa, Chordata, Mammalia, Carnivora, Felidae. The record is from Rfam.